GCCUGGCUGGCUCAGUUGGUAGAGCAAGUGACUCUUGAUCUCAGGGUCAUGAGUUCAAGCCCCACAUUGGGCA
This 73-nucleotide transfer RNA is filed under the name Ailuropoda melanoleuca (giant panda). It matches the Rfam family "tRNA". From Rfam's summary of the family: Transfer RNA (tRNA) molecules are approximately 80 nucleotides in length. Their secondary structure includes four short double-helical elements and three loops (D, anti-codon, and T loops). The record is from Rfam by way of RNAcentral. Lineage: Eukaryota; Metazoa; Chordata; Mammalia; Carnivora; Ursidae.